Molecule: ribosomal RNA, 532 nt
Filed under: Cutibacterium acnes HL005PA1
Lineage: Bacteria; Bacillati; Actinomycetota; Actinomycetes; Propionibacteriales; Propionibacteriaceae
Description: bacterial SSU rRNA
Rfam family: Bacterial small subunit ribosomal RNA
Source: RNAcentral
AGAGUUUGAUCCUGGCUCAGGACGAACGCUGGCGGCGUGCUUAACACAUGCAAGUCGAACGGAAAGGCCCUGCUUUUGUGGGGUGCUCGAGUGGCGAACGGGUGAGUAACACGUGAGUAACCUGCCCUUGACUUUGGGAUAACUUCAGGAAACUGGGGCUAAUACCGGAUAGGAGCUCCUGCUGCAUGGUGGGGGUUGGAAAGUUUCGGCGGUUGGGGAUGGACUCGCGGCUUAUCAGCUUGUUGGUGGGGUAGUGGCUUACCAAGGCUUUGACGGGUAGCCGGCCUGAGAGGGUGACCGGCCACAUUGGGACUGAGAUACGGCCCAGACUCCUACGGGAGGCAGCAGUGGGGAAUAUUGCACAAUGGGCGGAAGCCUGAUGCAGCAACGCCGCGUGCGGGAUGACGGCCUUCGGGUUGUAAACCGCUUUCGCCUGUGACGAAGCGUGAGUGACGGUAAUGGGUAAAGAAGCACCGGCUAACUACGUGCCAGCAGCCGCGGUGAUACGUAGGGUGCGAGCGUUGUCCGGAUU